Molecule: transfer RNA, 84 nt
Filed under: Ipomoea nil (Japanese morning glory)
Lineage: Eukaryota; Viridiplantae; Streptophyta; Magnoliopsida; Solanales; Convolvulaceae
Rfam family: tRNA
About the family: Transfer RNA (tRNA) molecules are approximately 80 nucleotides in length. Their secondary structure includes four short double-helical elements and three loops (D, anti-codon, and T loops).
Source: Rfam by way of RNAcentral
GUCAGGAUGAUCGAGUGGUUUAAGGCGCUAGACUCAAGUUUUGGUUCUCGUGAGAGAGCGUGGGUUCAAAUCCCACUUUUGACA